Molecule: ribosomal RNA, 238 nt
Filed under: uncultured bacterium
Lineage: Bacteria
Description: partial 16S ribosomal RNA
Rfam family: Bacterial small subunit ribosomal RNA
Source: RNAcentral
CGGCGGACGGGUGAGUAACGCGUGGGUAACCUGCCUCAUACAGGGGGAUAACAGUUGGAAACGGCUGCUAAUACCGCAUAAGCGCACAGUACCGCAUGGUACGGUGUGAAAAACUCCGGUGGUGUGAGACGGACCCGCGUCUGAUUAGCUGGUUGGCGGGGUAACGGCCCACCAAGGCGACGAUCAGUAGCCGACCUGAGAGGGUGACCGGCCACAUUGGGACUGAGACACGGCCCAA